This is a long non-coding RNA of Maniola jurtina (meadow brown), 114 nucleotides long. RefSeq lists it as uncharacterized. The record is from RefSeq and is a predicted model, not a curated record. NCBI's taxonomy places the organism in Eukaryota, Metazoa, Arthropoda, Insecta, Lepidoptera, Nymphalidae. The transcript has 3 exons.
UUAUAAUCGAAUUGCGGGGCAUGUGGCCUAGUUGUGGCAACGCAAUAUUAAUCGAUUGCGAUUGUUAAGCAACGUUGACUCAUGUCGGUGACUGGAUGGGUGACCGACUUUGGA